UGUUCUGUGGGAUUUGGCUUGUUAAUAUUUUGUUGACGGUGUUUGCAUCUAUACUCAUAAGGGAUAUUGGUCUAUAUUUUUCUUAUGGUAUCUUUAUCUGACUUUGGUAUCAGGAUAAUGCUGGCCUCAUAGAACGUGUUAGGAAGUAUUCUUUCCUCUUCUAUUUUUGGAGAUUUUUGAGUAAGAAUGAUAUUAAUUCAUCUUUAAAUGUUUGACAGAACUUAUGGGUGAACCUAUAUGGUCUAGGCUAUUUCUUCGAUGGAAGAGUUUUGACGGAUUUAAUCUUUUUACUUAUAUAGGUCUUUUUGUUAUAUAUAGGUCUGUUGAGACUUUGUGUUUCUUUUAAGUUAUUUUUGGUAAGUCAUGGAAUUUGUCUAUUUCACCUAGAUUAUCUAACUUGUUGUCAUACGAAUUGUUCCUAUAAUUCUCUUAUAAUACUUUUAAUUUCUGUAAGGUCAGCAGUAAUAUCCCUACCUUUAUUUCUGAUUCUACUUAUUUAUGUCUUCUCUCUUUUUUCUUAGUAGUCUAGCUAAGGAUUUAUCAAUUUUGUUGGUAUUUUCUUUGAUCUCAUGGAUUAUAUUUUUUUCUCUAUUUCAUUUUUCUCUUUUCGGAUCUUCAUUAUCUUCUGCUGGCUUUGGAUUUAGUUUGCUCUUCUUUGUCUGUUUUCUUAAUGUGUAAAUUUAGGUUGAUUUGAUAUUUUUCUUUUUUAAUGCAGGCAUUUACAGCUGUAAAUUUUUCUCUGAAUACAGUUUUUCCUGCAUUUUGUAAGUUUUGGAAUGUUUGUUUUUGUUUUCAGUCAUCUUAAAUUAUUAUCUAAUUUCUCUAGUGAUUUAUUCUUUAAACCACUAAAGAAAAUUCACAAAUACCUGGAACUAAGCAAUAUACUUGUUGUGAAGCAAUAUACUUUUUGUGAACAAGUAUAUUGCUUAGUUCCAGGUGUUUGUGAAUUUUCUAGUUUUCCUUCUGUAUUGAUUACUCAUUUUAUUGUGGUUCAAAAAGAUAGUAUGUAUCACCUUAGUCUUUUUAAGCUUAUAGAUAAUUGUUUUAUGGAAGAACAUAUAGUCUAUCCUGAAGAAUGUCCCAUGUGUACUUGAGAAGACUGUAUUCUGCUAUUGUUGAGUGGAAUGUUCUGUACGUGUCUCUGGGGUCUAGUUGGUUUUGUAGUAUUGUUCAAGCCUCCUACUUCCUUAUUGGUUUUCUUUCUACUUGUCUAUCAAUUGUGGAAAGUGAGGCAUUAAGGUCUCCAACUAUUAUUGUAGAACUGUAUAUUUCUCCCUUCAGUUUUCUAAAGGUUUGUUUUAUAUAUUUUCUGGCUGUCAUAUGGUGCAUAUAUGUUUAUAAUUGUUAUAUCUUUUUGAUAAAUUGAAACUUAACAACAUAAAAUGUCCAUCUUUGCUCUUGUAACAUGUUUUUACUUAACAUCUAAUUUGUCUGUUAUUAGUAUAGCCAUCCCAGCUUUUUUUUGUUUAUAAUUUGCACAUAUUUACAUAACGUUUUAAUAGUAAAAUGCAGAUUAUGAUAUCUAAGCAAGUGAUGGUGGUUCAAAAUAAAUUUUUGUCAUGUUAUUGUUUAUUCAUUUAGUGGAGUUAUUUUUAAAAUGUCAAGCAAGGUUUUUCUUAUAAGCUAAAAUAAUAGAUGCAGGAAAGCUAAUAUUCAGAGGAAAAUUUGCUGUUUUUAUACUUAUAUGUAUAUUUUUAAGGGUUAAUAUUGCUUACUAUAGAAUUUAUUCCUUUGUGAUUAUGAAUUCCUUGCAUUUCUUUCUAGCUAAGAGUUGAUGCUUGCUGUACACUUGAGUUUAUUGUGUGUAUCUUGUCCUAGUUGCAUUAAUAGUCUACACAGUCAACUAUAGUUCUCAAAUAAUAGUCAUAUUAAUUGCUACCAGAUUAUUACAUAUAUGAAUAUAUAUUUUAUAUAUAGUAUAUAUAUGUAUUUAUGUAUAUAUACUUUAAUGAUACUAAAUGUAGAUAUCAAGUCAGCUUUUUAUACAUUAUAUCCAAUGGACUUUUCAUUUGACUUCUUAACCUCUGAAAAUGUAGAUCACAUAAACUCUUGAAAAUAUACUAUGGCUUUUAAAGUUCUUAGAAUAUAUCAGGUAAGUAUAUUCUACACAUUUUUCUCUAGAUAUACCACCAUACAAAGAUGAGCAUUUUAUGGUGAUACCAUUGCAUAGAAGUAAAUUUAGUAUCAAUUUACUUUAGUUUUCUAAUAUCAGUUUCUCUUCAAAUUUUUGAGAGAAAAGUUUAGGCUUAGACUGUCAAUGCAAGAUUGAUUUAGAAAUACAUGAAUUUGAUUUUUUUCCUUUUGGGAAAAUUAUUUUGAAGCCUGUAGUGCUUUACUUAUAGAGAGUUUUAUAUUUUAAAAACACCUGCUAUAAUAUUUUACAAAAAAUGAUUUAUUAUGGAAAUAACUUACAUGUACCUUUUGAUAAUUAUAAGGACAUUAAAGUCGCAAAGUGAUCUGUGAAUGUUCCUACCUUGUCUUUUUUUUCCCCCAAUAGUUGUUGCUCAUUGUUUUGGUUCUCCAUCUUCCUUCCAAUUCUCUAAUAAUCCUUUAGGAUCAGUACCUAAUCCCAGCAAACAAAAAUAUUCAACAAGUCUCUGCGAAUUACGAUGAAGAAAAGAUGAAUUUUAAUUAAAAAGAGGUGACUAAAAUGUAAAGAGAUGAGUGGGAGGACUUGCCACAGAAGCAACAAAGACCGAGAAGGCAAUACACUUUGUGAUACCAUUUCCUUACUUUGGGCAGCAGAGCAAUUCGCUGAAGUUGCAGUAACAGAUCAUCUCACAUCCCUUCCCAUCCCAGAAAUGAUCCUGGACAUUGACAUCAAUCUGUGUCAGGUGCCAAAGUAUCUUUCCUUCCUUGGAAAGAGGGAAAACAGAUGGAGGACAUUGUACUUGGAAAGAAAACAAUAUUGUGGAAUAGCCAGACGUGGUGGCUCACACCUGUAAUCCCAGCACUUUGGGAGGCCAAACCCGGCAGAUCACCUGAGGCUUGACUCCUUCUGGGCUCACCAAGGCUGGCAGUAUGGGGAGAAGCAGCAGCUGGUUUCGGCCUUCACAGCUCACAUCUUCCCAGGAGAGAGGUCCUGAGUUAUUGCCCUAAUCUUCUCAAAGCUGUUUCACAGACACAAGCAUCUGGUGAGUUGAUAAUGUUAAUGAUAAUAGCAAUGAUACUAGUAAUAAUAAUGCUAUUAACUGCAUUGCCAAGUGUGCUAAACAUUUUGCAAAUGUUGUCUUAUUUAGUACACGCAACUUACUUACAUGAGGUAGUUUCCAGAUGGGGGAACUGGGGUUCAAAAAAAUUAAGCACUUGGCCAAGAUCACACAGCUGAUAAGUAGUGGAGCACAAACUGGAAACCAAGACAAAACUGUGCUCUUAGCCUGCUGCCACAAUAAAUAGCAAAAGAAAUAGAAUGAGAAAUUGGAGAACCUAAAACAACAGUACCUUUUUAAAAAAUUGUAGCCCAUAAUUUGAAUGUGCAUGAAUCACACCUGCUCUCUGUGAGCCACAGAGUCGUCUCUCUUUUACUGUGUUUCCUCCGUCCAUCUUCUGUUCAUAUUUGGCUUGAAACAGUUCUUAACUGGACAGUCAGAAACUUAAAGCAGCUGAAUGGUGUUUUCUACAAAGUCAGAUAUGGACAGUUGCCAAAAUAUCAGUCCUUGGGACAGAGUUUUUAAGUGAUUAUAAUUCUAGGAGUAAAACCAGUCACUCAGUAAAUAUUUGUUAAAUGAAUGAAUGAGUUAAUGAAUAAAUGAGUGAGGGGAUUAGAUUCUUGGGUACAGGAGAGGUUCUUGGGAAGUAAUCAUUCAUAAUUAUUUAUUGUGUGUCUGCUGUGUACCAUGAAUGAUAUUGCAGUGUCGCUGAAGGCAAAGUUCAGCAACUGAUCACUAUUUCUUCAAGGUCCUCUCCAAAGCACAAGCUACUUGGCCAGCCUGGCUGCUGAGUCCUAAUGUAAACCCUCAGUCUUCUCCCUUGUAAAAUAAGGGGUUUAAUUGAUUGUUUUUAUUGCUCUUCUACUUCCCAUUUUUCUAUGAGUAUAUGAUUCUAAAUAUCAUUUUUAAACAAACAUUUUUAUUUUAAAAUAGUUUUUCAUUUACAGAAAAACUGUUAGCUUAGUACAGAGACUUCCUAUAUACCCUAUAUCCAGUUUCCUCUAUUAUUUAACUCUUACAUUAGUGUGGUCCAUUUUUUAUAAUUAAUAAAUCUACAUUAAUACAUUAUUAUUAACUAAAGUUCAUACUUUAUUUAUUUGUACUUAGUUUUUACCUUUUCUGUUGCGGGAUCCCCUGCCCAGAACACCACAUUACAUUUAGUUGUAGUGUCUCUUCAGGCUCCUCAGUGUCUCCGACUUUGCCUGUUUUUGAUGACUUUGACCGUUUUGAGGAAUACUGGUCAAGUAUUUUGUAGAAUGCCUCUCAACUUAGAUCUGUCUAAUAUUGGUCUUAUGGUUAAACUUGGGUUAUGUGUUUGUAGAAAGAGGACCACAGAGUUAAAGUGCCAUUUCCAUCAUGUCAUAUCACACAUGAACAUACAGGUCAGGAACGUGACUUAUCACUAUUGAUUUAACUUCAAUCACCUGGCUCAAGUCGUUUUCGUUAUGUGGCUCCACUGCACAUUUACUCUUUUUCUCCCCCUUUCCAUAGUACACUCUGUGGAAGGAAGUCCCUAUGCAUGGUCCAUAUGUAAGGAGUGGGAAGUUAUGCUCUACCUCUUUGAGGGCGGAGUAACUACAUAAAUUUUGGAGAAUUUUUCUUCACAUGAAAUUUGUCCAUCAUUGCUUAUUUAUUUACUUGUAUUAGGAUGAACUCAUGUAUAUUUAUUCUAUACUUUGGAUUAUUUUAUACUUUGGAUUAAAAUAUUCCUUGCUCAAACUGUCCCAGCUUUUGCCUUUAGGGGCUCCUUUAGUUGCCUCUUGUGUCUCUAUGGCAUGCCCCAUCAAGGUCGUGGUUUUUGGUUUUGUUUUGUUUUUGUGCACUUUCUUCCUUUCUGGCACUAAAAGAUUGCUCCAAGCUCAUCUUGUGUAUUUCCUGUCCCAGUACUAGAAUCAGCCAUUUCUCCAAGGAGCCCUGGUUCCUUUCAUUGAAGAAUAAAUUAGAAACCAAGAUCUGGGAGCUAGGUGUGCUCACUAGUACUGGUGUGUCAUAGCUUCUCAUUCCUCUCAGCUGACAGAGCAAGGAAAUAUACUGUGUAUACCAACCUGUGUAAAUACACAUAUCUAUGAAUAUUGCUAUGCAUAACUGUCUGUAUCUACAACAACCUAAACAUGAGUUUAUUCUGAUGCCUCCAACUCUAAUCCAUUACUACGUGAAUCAUUUGAGCUUCCUCCUCUUGCUCAUCUGUAACCUCCUGCUCCAGCAGUGGGAACCUAACUCCUACUAUCAGCCACUUAUUUAAUUGUUCAUUUCCAGUAUACAUGUAUAGCAGCAUCGGAAUUGUUGGCACAUACCUCAUGG
This 5450-nucleotide long non-coding RNA is filed under the name Homo sapiens (human). RNAcentral's name for it is "HSALNT0323507". The record is from RNAcentral. Lineage: Eukaryota; Metazoa; Chordata; Mammalia; Primates; Hominidae.